AUGAAGAAGAGUCGCAGCAGUUCGGGCACUGAGCGGCGCUGCCGGCGCCUCCCGCUGCCCGGCCGCAGCCGCCGUCGCUUUCCCUGCCCGGGCCCGGGCGCCGCGGCGGGCCCGGCGGCAGCCCCAGCGGCCAGAGCCGCAGCUCCCUGCCGCUCUGCCAGAGCCCUGCAGCUCCCGGCUCUUCUGGAAAUGGGACAGGCCAAGCUGGUGACAAUGGAGCAGAGAUCCACCUCACACCAGCUGGGGACCGGCUCGCCACAGAAUGAGGCGUCCCACAACCUACUCAAGGAGACCAGAGUUUCAGCUGAGCAGAUGUACAGUGUAAAUUGACUCAUCAUAUGUUUCAAAAUGAAACAGCAAUGCUGACUGUUUGGCAUCUUUUAUGACAGGACAUUAUGAAACAUUAAUUGUUAGAGCUACUUAAGAGUUUCUGACUUUACAGGGAUACUCAGUGCAAUGCUGGGGUCAAAUAGAUAUCGGGCUGGACAACCUAGUAUUUAUUUUCUAGCAAGCUGGAAUUACAGAAAGACCUAAUUUUCUGUUGCCUUGACUGAAAUACACUCACUUAUUUAGUGAGUUUAAAAAAGUGUGAAAUGUAAAUAAUUUUACAUUUCUCUAAAUGACGGUGCAACCAGGGUAGUAGGAGACACAGUCUAAAAGUUUGAGCAUAGGGUUUCAUGUCCUUCUCUGCAAGUGAACGUUCUGUAAUCUGAACUGAAAUAGGUGGUUUUGGCUUUUUUUCACCUUUUAGUUUGCAGUUUCAAACCUCAAAAACUGCAACUCCGAUACUGUUGAGGUUUAACCCCAGCAAGCAGCCAUGUAUCACGUAGCCACCAACUCACUCCCCUACUAACAGGAUCGGGAGAGAAUCAGAAUGGUAACAAUUACCAUUGAAAACUCUUGAAUUGAAAUAAAGGCAGUUUAGUUGAGAAAGCAACUAAACUGCCUUUAAACUUUAAAAUUUUGUCUUGAAGCAUGGCGGGACAAAAGCAGAAAAGGCCUUGGCUCUAUGUAAGCUCUACUCAGCAGUAGAAAACCCAGCUCUGUGUUAUCAUGCCCAAAUCCAAAUCACAACCCUGUGCCAGAUACUGUGAAGAAGAUUAAUUUUAUCUCAGUCAAAAUCAGCACAAAUACAAACCAGUUACUGCUACUUGCUGGAAUUCGAUAAAUGGAGUGUUGAAUGGAGCACUGUUGCUCCUCACAAGCCAUGCUGUUGUGUGUGAGAUGCUCUUUUUGGAGUGAAUAAUGAUGAGACUCUCAGGGCUGGUUUGGUUUAUUACUGUAUUGCAGUAGCACCUGCAGUGUCAGUGUGAAAGGGACAGCUUUCACUGAGGAAUAGCUGAGCAGAAGGAGAGAAGAGCUGCCAUCUUGUGUGGGGAACUGAGACUGCACUAAACCAGGCUACAACUUUAAUACAAUUAAAAAUUUAAAAAUUUAUUAUACCUUUGGGAAUUUAUUAACUAAAGAUAGUUUCACAUUACUUCCAUAUUUUAUAUUAGUUUUUAACUAAUAAAAAUAAAUCACUUUAACCAGGAGGGCUGUUUUUUUGGCUUCAUCAAUACUGCAAACUCAUUGGGAGGAAGCCAAGGCAGUGAGAGCAGUGACCCAUCAAUUCUCUCUACCAGGGUUUCUCAGCACAGAAUUCUGCUCAGCAGAGUGGAUUGGCCACAGAGCAGGAACAGCAGCUCUGUACACAGAAAAUAUAUUUGUGACCUUUUGUAUACAAAAUAGAGUAGCCACAAUCAAGUUUAUGAUGUGUUACAUGGUGUUGUUAAAUCAGAUGGCAACAGGCAUCUUUCACCAAGCCUCUUGGUACGUUCCUAUAGGAUAUGUGGUCAGUGCUUUUUUUUUUUUUUUUUUUUUUUUUGUUUUGUUUUGUUUUGUUUUGUUUUGUUUUGUUUUGUUUUGUUGCUGGAUGUGAAUGCUUAGCACAAAGAGGCAGAAAAAUGUCCUUGUCAAUACUAGAAGCAGAACAAUGAUAUUCCAGCUUCUGUUUUCCAGUUCCCUCCAAACUUCUAAACCAAGAUCAAAUAUGAG
RNAcentral lists this long non-coding RNA (2037 nucleotides) under Taeniopygia guttata (zebra finch). Its description in RNAcentral is "lncRNA (ENSTGUG00000018827.1)". Lineage: Eukaryota; Metazoa; Chordata; Aves; Passeriformes; Estrildidae. The record is from RNAcentral.